AAGUCCAGAUAAACUCCGAAUGCGCGAUAUAUAUUUAAAGGGAGUGAGGGCGCGGGUGCUAAGGUCCGUGUCCGAGAGGAGAAGAAUCCAGACCACCGGCUAAGGCCCCCAAAUGAUCGUUGAGUUGAACUAACGAGGUCGGAUCGCAGAGACAGCUAGGAUGUUGGCUUGGAAGCAGCCAUUCAUUUAAAGAGUGCGUAACAGCUCACUAGUCGAGCGAUCUGGCGUGGAUAAUAAUCGGGCAUAAACGAUCUGCCGAAGCCGUGGAUGUCGUAAGACAUGGUAGGGGAGCAUUCCAUGCGGCGUCGAAGAUGAGGGAUGACCCUUGUUGGAGCGCAUGGAAAAGCAAAUGUAGGUAUGAGUAACGAUAAGGGGGGCGAGAAACCCCCCCGCCGAAAGACCAAGGUUUCCUGAUCAACGCUAAUCGGAUCAGGGUGAGUCGGGACCUAAGGCAAAGCCGAACGGCGACGCCGAUGGAAGAAUGGGUUAAUAUUCCCAUACUGCCUCAUGGAGUGACGUGGAGACGGAGAAGUGACAGUCCUGCCGGCUGACGGAAUAGCCGGUUGAAGGGUGUAGAUAUUGAUUCCCGUAGGCAAAUCCGCGGGGAGAGUC
This 612-nucleotide ribosomal RNA is filed under the name Campylobacter jejuni. Its description in RNAcentral is "partial 23S ribosomal RNA". It matches the Rfam family "Bacterial large subunit ribosomal RNA", at positions 941 to 1557 of the family's 2925-position model. Lineage: Bacteria; Pseudomonadati; Campylobacterota; Epsilonproteobacteria; Campylobacterales; Campylobacteraceae. The record is from RNAcentral.